AACGAACGCUGGCGGCAUGCCUAACACAUGCAAGUCGAACGAUCCCUUCGGGGAUAGUGGCGCACGGGUGCGUAACGCGUGGGAACCUGCCCUUAGGUUCGGAAUAACUCAGAGAAAUUUGAGCUAAUACCGGAUAAUGUCUUCGGACCAAAGAUUUAUCGCCUUUGGAUGGGCCCGCGUUGGAUUAGCUAGUUGGUGGGGUAAAGGCCUACCAAGGCGACGAUCCAUAGCUGGUCUGAGAGGAUGCUCAGCCACACUGGGACUGAGACACGGCCCAGACUCCUACGGGAAGCAGCAGUGGGGAAUAUUGGACAAUGGGCGAAAGCCUGAUCCAGCAAUGCCGCGUGAGUGAUGAAGGCCUUAGGGUUGUAAAGCUCUUUUACCCGGGAUGAUAAUGACAGUACCGGGAGAAUAAGCCCCGGCUAACUCCGUG
Molecule: ribosomal RNA, 433 nt
Filed under: uncultured bacterium
Lineage: Bacteria
Description: partial 16S ribosomal RNA
Rfam family: Bacterial small subunit ribosomal RNA
Source: RNAcentral